GAUUUACGAGCCCAAGCUUAAAACCCAAAGGACUUGACGGUGUCCUAUCCCCCCUAGAGGAGCCUGUUCUAUAAUCGAUUCCCCCCGAUCUCCCUCACCACUUCUUGACCCACCACCCAGCCUGUAUACCUCCGUCGCAAGCUUACCGUGUGAGCGCACCCAGUGAGCUAAAAGAUAUUUCACCCAUACGUCAGGUCAAGGUGCAGCCUACGAAGCGGAAAGAAAUGGGCUACAAUCUCUACUUUAGAACAAACGGAAAACUGUGUAAAACACAGUUACUGAAGGCGGAUUUAGUAGUAAAAAGAAAAUAGAGUGUUCUUUUUAACCAGGCACUGGGACGCGUACACACCGCCCGUCACCCUCUUCAAACAAAUCAAAAAGUUACUAACACCACUUAAUCAUACAGAAGAGGCAAGUCGUAACAUGGUAAGCGUACUGGAAAGUGCACUUGGAACAAAAUGUAGCUUAACUAAAAGCAUCUUGCUUACACCAAGAAUAUGCCUGCAAAACCCUGACCAUUUUGAGCUUAACUUACAGCCCCCCCCCAUAAUAUAAUCUUCUUUUCCCAUAAUAAACUAACUAAAACAUUUUCUUAGUCAAGUAAAGGCGAUCAAAAAACUUCUAGGAGCCCCAACAACAGUACCGCAAGGG
RNAcentral lists this ribosomal RNA (651 nucleotides) under Choerophryne sp. LAO-2013. RNAcentral's name for it is "partial 12S ribosomal RNA". The stretch from base 1 to 464 matches the Rfam family "Bacterial small subunit ribosomal RNA", at positions 877 to 1533 of the family's 1533-position model. Lineage: Eukaryota; Metazoa; Chordata; Amphibia; Anura; Microhylidae. The record is from RNAcentral.